RNAcentral lists this transfer RNA (96 nucleotides) under Candidatus Zhuqueibacterota bacterium. RNAcentral describes it as "candidate division KSB1 bacterium tRNA-Sec". It matches the Rfam family "Selenocysteine transfer RNA". The record is from RNAcentral. Lineage: Bacteria; Pseudomonadati.
GGGAGCGCAUGCAUGCCUGGUGGCGGCCGCGGACUUCAAAUCCGUUGUGUCCUGACGUUCGUCAGGGCAGGUGGGUUCGAUUCCCACACGCUCCCG